Molecule: non-coding RNA, 73 nt
Organism: Stegodyphus mimosarum
Lineage: Eukaryota; Metazoa; Arthropoda; Arachnida; Araneae; Eresidae
Source: Rfam
GCCUUCGUAGUCUAGUGGUCAGCACGCUCGACGCGAAUUCGAGAGGUCCGUGGUUCGAAUCCCGGCGAGGGCA